GGGAGGUCCAACGGUCCGACCCCAGCCGGACUCGAGCUCACUCGGUUGCAGGCGUUAGGCUCCCAGCGGCUCUCCGCCGUUAAGUGGAGAUUGUUCAGGACUGUGGAGGCUCGCUCGGCACCUGGCCUGAAGGCGGGAGAUUUGGCAACCAGUAGCAUGGGAGGAUGCUGCGUCCUCCAGGAAGCUCUCUAGCGCUUUUCCGAGUCCUGGAGCCAGGCGGGACUUCUCUGUGGUCGCCUAGAAGGAGACCAACAAUUGUCAGCACAGCAAAACUGGGCAUUUCUUUUCUUGCCGAGCUUUGCAGCUACCUACACAGUUGUGUGUGGCAUCUCCUCCUGGGGGCAAGGACAUGAGAUGACAUCAGGGCCUUGCUGUGUCAUCCAGGCUGGAGUGCAGUGAUAGGAGCAUGGCUUACUGCAGCCUCAACCUCCCAGCUUCAAGCAAUGCUCCCACCUUGGCCUCCCAAAGUGCUGGGAUUACAGGCAUGAGCCACCAUGCUUGGCCCAUUGCCAUUGCAGUAAGAUUUGAAAUCAAUAAGUCUCGUUCUCCUGAACGGUGAAUUAUCUUAGGAAAGAUUGUAUUUUCAGGAAUUAAGUCUACUGGAGACACAGCAGGACUCCACAGCCAGCUAGAUUCGGAUAAAAUGUAGACCGCCUCAAGGCCAGUGUGUUGACUUCUGACCAGUCUCAUCUGAACCCACAGCCUUUAACAUAUAUACAAAACACCCUGAAGGGUUGGGCUGCCAGCUUUCUUUAGGAUGAUAGAGGGCAGGUUAAGUUUGUUUGACAUAACCGGAAGAGGCAGAGCCUCUUCCUAAUGGAGCAGGGUCCAUUUAUGGCAAAUUGUGGUUCCCCACCACUCUCAGCUACUUCUGGGUAGCUUUUGCUUAGAGUUGAUGAGAUAUUGUUUCUUUCACUAGAAGAAAGUGAAUGAGUUGGUGAUCUCAAACUUUGGUUUCCAAAGGAAGCCUGGGCAGGUGACAAAGGUGUCCUAAGCGAGACUGCUGCUUCCAUGCUCAUGCUGGAGGUACAUUUGCUCUGAAAGACGGAGCAAAAGUGCUGAAGCUUAGCACAGAGGAUUAAUGAACAAGAACAAGGCUAUAUUAUAUUAUAUUAUAUUAUGUUAUGUUAUGUUAUGUUAUGUUAUAU
Symphalangus syndactylus (siamang) is the source of this 1148-nucleotide long non-coding RNA. RefSeq lists it as uncharacterized. Lineage: Eukaryota; Metazoa; Chordata; Mammalia; Primates; Hylobatidae. The record is from RefSeq and is a predicted model, not a curated record.